This is a long non-coding RNA of Prunus avium (sweet cherry), 673 nucleotides long. RefSeq lists it as uncharacterized. Lineage: Eukaryota; Viridiplantae; Streptophyta; Magnoliopsida; Rosales; Rosaceae. The record is from RefSeq and is a predicted model, not a curated record.
AGCUCCUUCACCUUUCUCUUUCAUUUCACUCUCUCAAAUUCAAUCGCCGCCUCUCUCACCCUCUACCUCUAUCGUCUCUCUCCCGACCUCACCCUCACCGUCAUCGAUCUCUCUCUCUCUCUCCUCUCAUCUCCUGUCUCUUUCGACCUCAUCCUCUCUCUCUCGACCUCAUCCUAUCUCAUCUUCUGGUUUUUAUUUUGUUCUUUUUGCAGGCAGAGAAGCUUAGUGGCAGUUGUUGGCGGCACUGGAGAAGGGAAGACGUCGCUUGUGUCAGCCAUGCUUGGAGAGCUGCCUCCCAGAGCAGAUUCUGGUGUUGUAAUCAGGGGGACUGUUGCUUAUGUUCCCCAAGUUUCAUGGAUUUUCAAUGCUACUCUCCCUUAACUGAUACAAUCAUACGAGUGAAUCUGUUUGGUAUUUAAAAUUUAAUUUGGUGUUUUACUUGUAUUUUUUGUCAUGGGUUGUAAAAUAUAAUUUGGUACUUUACUUGUAUUUUUUGUCAUGGGAUGUAAGAAACAACUAAUUUGAUAGUUGGGUGAUGCUUGUGAUUGUGAUUUAGUUUAGAAACUAAAAAAAAACAGGUUAUAAUUUAGUUGAAUUUACAGGAUUUGGUUUAGGAAAAAUGAAGUGGGCUUUAAUGGAUGGCCUGUUUGAAAAAUUGGCAUUGUGGAAAAAA